UACGGAGGGUGCGAGCGUUGUCCGGAAUCACUGGGCGUAAAGGGCGCGUAGGCGGCGCGGGUAGUCAUCGGUGAAGGUUCAGGGCUCAACUCUGAAUCGGCCGGUGAUACUCCCGUGCUCGAGCACUGUAGAGGCAGGUGGAAUUCCGGGUGUAGCGGUGGAAUGCGUAGAGAUCCGGAAGAACACCGGUGGCGAAGGCGGCCUGCUGGGCAGUAGCUGACGCUGAUGCGCGACAGCGUGGGGAGCAAACAGG
Molecule: ribosomal RNA, 253 nt
Filed under: uncultured bacterium
Lineage: Bacteria
Description: partial 16S ribosomal RNA
Rfam family: Bacterial small subunit ribosomal RNA
Source: RNAcentral